AUACGUAGGUGACAAGCGUUAUCCGGAUUUACUGGGCGUAAAGGGCGUGUAGGCGGUCUUGCAAGUCAGACGUGAAAUUCCUGAGCUCAACUCGGGCGCUGCUUCUGAAACUGCAGGACUUGAGUGCUGGAGGGGAUCGCGGAAGUCCUAGUGGAGCGGUAAAAUGCGCAGAUAUUAGGAAGAACACCGGUGGCGAAGGCGGCUAUCUGGACAGUAACUGACGCUGAGGCGCGAAAGCGUGGGGAGCAAACAGGAUUAGAUACCCUGGUAGUCCACACUGUAAACGAUGAAUGCUAGGUGUAGGGGGUAUCGACCCCUUCUGUGCCGCAGUCAACACAAUAAGUAUUCCGCCUGGGGAGUACGGCCGCAAGGUUGAAACUCAAAUGAAUUGGCGGGG
Molecule: ribosomal RNA, 397 nt
Filed under: uncultured bacterium
Lineage: Bacteria
Description: partial 16S ribosomal RNA
Rfam family: Bacterial small subunit ribosomal RNA
Source: RNAcentral